UGGCGGCAUGCCUUACACAUGCAAGUCGAACGGCAGCGCGGGGCAACCUGGCGGCGAGUGGCGAACGGGUGAGUAAUAUAUCGGAACGUGCCCUGGAGUGGGGGAUAACGCAGCGAAAGUUGCGCUAAUACCGCAUACGAUCUAAGGAUGAAAGCGGGGGAUUCGCAAGAACCUCGUGCUCCUGGAGCGGCCGAUAUCUGAUUAGCUAGUUGGUGGGGUAAAGGCCUACCAAGGCAUCGAUCAGUAGCUGGUCUGAGAGGACGACCAGCCACACUGGAACUGAGACACGGUCCAGACUCCUACGGGAGGCAGCAGUGGGGAAUUUUGGACAAUGGGCGAAAGCCUGAUCCAGCAAUGCCGCGUGAGUGAAGAAGGCCUUCGGGUUGUAAAGCUCUUUUGUCAGGGAAGAAACGGUAUGGGCUAAUAUCCCGUACUAAUGACGGUACCUGAAGAAUAAGCACCGGCUAACUACGUGCCAGCAGCCGCGGUAAUACGUAGGGUGCAAGCGUUAAUCGGAAUUACUGGGCGUAAAGCGUGCGCAGGCGGUUUUGUAAGUUUGUCGUGAAAGCCCCGGGCUCAACCUGGGAAUUGCGAUGAAGACUGCAAGGCUUGAAUCUGGCAGAGGGGGGUAGAAUUCCACGUGUAGCAGUGAAAUGCGUAGAGAUGUGGAGGAACACCGAUGGCGAAGGCAGCCCCCUGGGUCAAGAUUGACGCUCAUGCACGAAA
Molecule: ribosomal RNA, 726 nt
Filed under: uncultured soil bacterium
Lineage: Bacteria
Description: bacterial SSU rRNA
Rfam family: Bacterial small subunit ribosomal RNA
Source: RNAcentral